RNAcentral lists this ribosomal RNA (484 nucleotides) under uncultured bacterium. RNAcentral describes it as "partial 16S ribosomal RNA". It matches the Rfam family "Bacterial small subunit ribosomal RNA", at positions 30 to 507 of the family's 1533-position model. The record is from RNAcentral.
AUUGAACGCUGGCGGCAGGCCUAACACAUGCGAGUCGAGCGGAUGAAGGGAGCUUGCUCCUGGAUUCAGCGGCGGACGGGUGAGUAAUGCCUAGGAAUCUGCCUGGUAGUGGGGGAUAACAUCCGGAAACGGGCGCUAAUACCGCAUACGUCCUGAGGGAGAAAGUGGGGGAUCUUCGGACCUCACGCUAUCAGAUGAGCCUAGGUCGGAUUAGCUAGUUGGGGGGGUAAAGGCCUACCAAGGCGACGAUCCGUAACUGGUCUGAGAGGAUGAUCAGUCACACUGGAACUGAGACACGGUCCAGACUCCUACGGGAGGCAGCAGUGGGGAAUAUUGGACAAUGGGCGAAAGCCUGAUCCAGCCAUGCCGCGUGUGUGAAGAAGGUCUUCGGAUUGUAAAGCACUUUAAGUUGGGAGGAAGGGCAGUAAGUUAAUACCUUGCUGUUUUGACGUUACCAACAGAAUAAGCACCGGCUAACUUCGUG